UACCAGCUCUCCGAGUGGUAGGGAUGAUUAUUGGGCUUAAAGCGUCCGUAGCCGGCUUAGCAAGUCUCCUGAUAAAUUCAGCGACCUAAUCGUUGAGCCGCGGGAGAUACUACUAGGCUAGGAGGCGGGAGAGGUCAACGGUACUUCCGGGGUAGGGGUGAAAUCCUAUAAUCCCGGGAGGACCACCAGUGGCGAAGGCUGUUGACUAGAACGCGCUCGACGGUGAGGGACGAAAGCUGGGGGAGCGAACCGGAUUAGAUACCCGGGUAGUCCCAGCUGUAAACGAUGCGAGCUAGGUGUUGGGGUGGCUACGUGCCACUUAAGUGCCGCAGGGAAGCCAUUAAGCUCGCCGCCUGGGGAGUACGGCCGCAAGGCUGAAACUUAAAGGAAUUGGCGGGGGAGCACCACAAGGCGUGAAGCUUGCGGUUC
This 429-nucleotide ribosomal RNA is filed under the name uncultured archaeon. RNAcentral describes it as "bacterial SSU rRNA". It matches the Rfam family "Archaeal small subunit ribosomal RNA", at positions 474 to 903 of the family's 1478-position model. The record is from RNAcentral.